Long non-coding RNA from Bombina bombina (fire-bellied toad), 646 nucleotides. RefSeq lists it as uncharacterized. The transcript has 6 exons. The record is from RefSeq and is a predicted model, not a curated record. NCBI's taxonomy places the organism in Eukaryota, Metazoa, Chordata, Amphibia, Anura, Bombinatoridae.
GGCCCUUAUUUGACUGUGUAUUUAAUAACUGCUGUUGCUGUUGAGAGUUGGUACAAUUUUCUCAAAGGAAUUUUCCAUCUCUGAAAGGAUCCUUUCAGAAUUCUAAAGCCGUCUCUUAUUUGACUGUGUAUUUAAUAACUGCAGUUGCUGCUGUUGCGAGUUGGUAAAAUUUUCUAAAAGGCAUUCUCCAUCUCUGAAAGGAUCCUUUCAGAAUUCUAAAGCCGGCCCUUAUUUGACUGUGUAUUUAAUAACUGCUGUUGCUACUGCGAGUUGGUACUAUUUUCUAAAAGGAAUUCUCCAUCUCUGAAAGAUCCUUUCAGAAUACUAAAGCCGGCCCACAUUUGACUGUUUUUUUUAAUAAUAACUGCUGCUGCUGCUGAGUGUUGGUACAAUUUUCUGAAAGGCAUUUUCCAUCUCUGAAAGUAUCCUUUCAGAAUUCUAAAGCCGACCCUUAUUUGACUGUGUAUUUAAUAACUGCUGCUGCUGGGAGUUGGUACAAUUUUCUUAAAGGCAUUUUCCAUCUCUGAAAGGAUCCUUUCAGAAUUCUAAAUCCGGCCCUUAUUUGACUGUGUAUUUAAUAAUUGCUGCUUUUGCUGCUGCUGAGAGUUGGUACAAAUUUCUAAAAGGCAUUUUCCAUCUCUGAAAG